This 88-nucleotide transfer RNA is filed under the name Streptomyces sp. JJ66. RNAcentral's name for it is "tRNA-Ser". It matches the Rfam family "tRNA". Rfam says of the family: Transfer RNA (tRNA) molecules are approximately 80 nucleotides in length. Their secondary structure includes four short double-helical elements and three loops (D, anti-codon, and T loops). Further hydrogen bonds mediate the characteristic L-shaped molecular structure. tRNAs have two regions of fundamental functional importance: the anti-codon, which is responsible for specific mRNA codon recognition, and the 3' end, to which the tRNAs corresponding amino acid is attached (by aminoacyl-tRNA synthetases). tRNAs cope with the degeneracy of the genetic code in two manners: having more than one tRNA (with a specific anti-codon) for a particular amino acid; and 'wobble' base-pairing, i.e. permitting non-standard base-pairing at the 3rd anti-codon position. Lineage: Bacteria; Bacillati; Actinomycetota; Actinomycetes; Kitasatosporales; Streptomycetaceae. The record is from RNAcentral.
GGAGGCGUGCCCGAGCGGCCGAAGGGACCGGUCUUGAAAACCGUCGUGGCGUAACCCGUCACCGUGGGUUCAAAUCCCACCGCCUCCG